RNAcentral lists this ribosomal RNA (414 nucleotides) under Triticum aestivum (bread wheat). RNAcentral describes it as "partial small subunit ribosomal RNA". The record is from RNAcentral. Lineage: Eukaryota; Viridiplantae; Streptophyta; Magnoliopsida; Poales; Poaceae.
AUGUUUAAUCAUUUUGAUAUGACCUCUAAUCUUGGUGAUGAUUCUGUGUCGAAUGACUCAUUGCAUGUUUGCUUAUCUAAGCAUGUUGUAGCAUGUAAAUUUGAUUCAAAUAAGGUUUAUUCACCAAUGUUGGGAUGGUUUAAUGAUGAACAUUGUCAAUCUUUUGAAAUAAAUAAGAGCUUCACUUAUAUGUGCAAACUGAGUUGCAAUAUUUUCAUGCCUUCUAGUUCCUGUGCUAAUUUGUUGGCUUUAGAUUUUAUGAACUAUGCAAGUUACUCAUCUAUUCAUGUGUCAUAUAUGCAAAAAUCAAGGGAAGUAAAAAUGAAUGACGUAUACAUAUACAACAUGUACACCUUGUCUCUUUUGUUAGCCACAUUUCAGAUUAAGCAACGCCGAGGACGGCUUUGUUUUUAA